RNAcentral lists this ribosomal RNA (263 nucleotides) under uncultured bacterium. RNAcentral describes it as "partial 16S ribosomal RNA". It matches the Rfam family "Bacterial small subunit ribosomal RNA", at positions 793 to 1055 of the family's 1533-position model. The record is from RNAcentral.
GUCCACGCCCUAAACGAUGUCAACUGGUUGUUGGGAAUUCACUUUCUCAGUAACGAAGCUAACGCGUGAAGUUGACCGCCUGGGGAGUACGGCCGCAAGGUUAAAACUCAAAGGAAUUGACGGGGACCCGCACAAGCGGUGGAUGAUGUGGUUUAAUUCGAUGCAACGCGAAAACCUUACCCACCUUUGACAUGUAUGGAAGGCCGCAGAGACGCGGUUGUGCCCGAAAGGGAGCCAUAACACAGGUGCUGCAUGGCUGUCGU